Mercurialis annua (annual mercury) is the source of this 539-nucleotide long non-coding RNA. RefSeq lists it as uncharacterized. The record is from RefSeq and is a predicted model, not a curated record. Lineage: Eukaryota; Viridiplantae; Streptophyta; Magnoliopsida; Malpighiales; Euphorbiaceae. The transcript is spliced from 3 exons.
UCUAGCUGAAAUAAGAAUGAAUUCCGUAGCUCCUUCUUCACAAAAUCACAAAAUCUUCAAUUGGCCAUAUCUUUUUCGUUUCUUAAUGGAAUUGAGCGAUUCUCGUGGCCACGUAACGGGGAAAGGAUCUUCUACUAGAUUAUGGCUUCAAUUUGAGGUGAUUAGGAGCAUGAAUGAAGGAUUUUGAGGAUGAAAUUGAUGGUAAACCUUUGGCUUAGUGUCACCAACCAAGGUAGUGACAAGCUACGGAUUUGACGAUUUUGGCUUAGAGAGUUCGGCCAAGACAAAGGAAUGAUGAAGAUUGGAUAGCGAGGUGUGAGUAUAUUUUACUUACUCGCAUUAUCAUAUUAAACUUAUGUUAUAUACUAUAUGAAUAGUAUUUAAAUGCAUCACAUGAAUUGUUUGGAAUGAGUUGUUUGGAUUGAUUUGUAUUGUUUGGUUUGGAUUGUUUUUGUUGGCUUGAAUUGAUUGGAUUGGUUUGUGUCGUUUGUAUACAACUUAAUUGUAUUGGAAUGGUUUGACUUGUAUUGUAUUAUUUA